This 909-nucleotide ribosomal RNA is filed under the name Agaricus sp. Its description in RNAcentral is "LSU rRNA". It matches the Rfam family "Eukaryotic large subunit ribosomal RNA", at positions 55 to 960 of the family's 3401-position model. The record is from RNAcentral. Lineage: Eukaryota; Fungi; Basidiomycota; Agaricomycetes; Agaricales; Agaricaceae.
AAACGAGAGACUAACAGGAUUCCCCUAGUAACUGCGAGUGAAGCGGGAAAAGCUCAAAUUUAAAAUCUGGCAGUCUCUGGCUGUCCGAGUUGUAAUCUAGAGAAGUAAUGCCCGUGCUGGACCGUGUAUAAGUCUCCUGGGAUGGGGCGUCAUAGAGGGUGAGAAUCCCGUCUUUGACACGGACUACCAGUGCAUUGUGGUAUGCUCUCAAAGAGUCGAGUUGUUUGGGAAUGCAGCUCAAAAUGGGUGGUAAAUUCCAUCUAAAGCUAAAUAUUGGCGAGAGACCGAUAGYGAACAAGUACCGUGAGGGAAAGAUGAAAAGAACUUUGGAAAGAGAGUUAAACAGUACGUGAAAUUGCUGAAAGGGAAACGCUUGAAGUCAGUCAYGUUGGCCGGGAAUCAGCCUUGCUUUUGCAUGGUGUACUUUCUGGUUGAUGGGUCAGCAUCAAUUUUGACCGCUGGAAAAAGGCCUGGGGAAUGUGGCAGCUUCGGCUGUGUUAUAGCCCCUAGUCACAUACAGUGGUUGGGAUUGAGGAACUCAGCACGCCGCAAGGCCGGGUUUCGACCACGUUCGUGCUUAGGAUGCUGGCAUAAUGGCUUUAAGCGACCCGUCUUGAAACACGGACCAAGGAGUCUAACAUGCCUGCGAGUAUUUGGGUGGAAAACCMAAGUGCGUAAUGAAAGUGAAAGUUGAGAUCCCUGUCGUGGGGAGCAUCGAUGCCCGGACCAGAACUUUUGGGACGGAUCCGCGGUGGAGCAUGUAUGUUGGGACCCGAAAGAUGGUGAACUAUGCCUGAAUAGGGUGAAGCCAGAGGAAACUCUGGUGGAGGCUCGUAGCGAUUCUGACGUGCAAAUCGAUCGUCAAAUUUGGGUAUAGGGGCGAAAGACUAAUCGACCAUCUGGGUCCAU